Molecule: ribosomal RNA, 467 nt
Filed under: uncultured bacterium
Lineage: Bacteria
Description: partial 16S ribosomal RNA
Rfam family: Bacterial small subunit ribosomal RNA
Source: RNAcentral
GACGAACGCUGGCGGCGUGCUUAACACAUGCAAGUCGAACGGAAAGGCCCUGCUUUUGUGGGGUGCUCGAGUGGCGAACGGGUGAGUAACACGUGAGUAACCUGCCCUUGACUUUGGGAUAACUUCAGGAAACUGGGGCUAAUACCGGAUAGGAGCUCCUGCUGCAUGGUGGGGGUUGGAAAGUUUCGGCGGUUGGGGAUGGACUCGCGGCUUAUCAGCUUGUUGGUGGGGUAGUGGCUUACCAAGGCUUUGACGGGUAGCCGGCCUGAGAGGGUGACCGGCCACAUGUGGACUGAGAUACGGCCCAGACCCCUACGGGAGGCAGCAGGGGGGAAUAUUGCACAAUGGGCGGAAGCCUGAUGCAGCAACGCCGCGUGCGGGAUGACGGCCUUCGGGUUGUAAACCGCUUUCGCCUGUGACGAAGCGUGAGUGACGGUAAUGGGUAAAGAAGCACCGGCUAACUACGU